GAUGGUCAGACCUGGAUCAUUACGGAUGUGGGCUGUGAUCCACCUUCACCUGACAAGACAAACCAACCAUCCACUCCAUCCCAAGCCAAGGAGCCUUGGUUCAUGACGGCUGCAUCCACCUCAGCUGGACCACCCACAGAACCAGAGAAAACCAGGAACGAGACUCUGCGUGUGGAGUCAGUCCGUGCCAGUCAUUCACAAAACGACAAAAGAGGAGAAGUUAUACUCCAGGAGAUUGGAGAUGCUUCCUGGACCAUCUCUGCCAUUGAUGACCUGAGUUUAUCGCCUCAUGUUUUAUCCCCAAAAAUAUUUUAUUAUUUGACAUACUGCCUUAAAUUGACACCAUUUCUCUUCAUUACAUGCAGGUGGUCCACCCAGAAGUCCUCUCUUCCCAGAUGCUCCCUCCUUCAGGAAGAUGUCCACAGGCAUGUCAGAAUGUUGAACUUGGCUUCUGGUAGUAGAUUGGGCAGCGGAUGUUGCGGUGUCGGCCGACAGCCUAAAUGGGUCCGGUAAUGGCCACAGCUCCAUGUCUGCAUGACGGCUGCGACGAGGAAUGUCUGAGGACAAUGAAGCUGUGGAUGCUAACCGGACCACCAGAAAGAAGAUGAUCCAGGAAGAAGAAGAAAUUUAAAAAAAACAAAAACUAAGGAAGGUUUAGCAGUGCAUUUUGACUGACAGUAGUGUUGAAAUGGAUUUUUUUUCAGUGUAGAGUGGACCUUUAAUCACUGACUGAGUUAUACAUUUUUCCUUUUUUCUAGUAAUAACCUCUGCCUCCCUUUAUGUAUCAAUAUAUCUUUAGGGAUUGGUGGUAAUAACAUUUUCAAGUUAAAUCAUGUUAAUUUUUUUCAUGUACUUUAAAUACCUUUUUUUUUUUUUUUUUACUGUUUUUUGAAUUAAAAAAAUGUUUAUAUGCAUAUUACUCCAUUCUGUGCUUUGUUUUUUCUCUUGUCAUUACUGCAGGAGUAUUUUUCAUUCAUGUGUUGAUAUGACUUGGUGGUUUUAUUUCCUUUAAAGGAGUUUUUGCUU
RNAcentral lists this long non-coding RNA (1026 nucleotides) under Gouania willdenowi (blunt-snouted clingfish). RNAcentral describes it as "lncRNA (ENSGWIG00000017113.1)". The record is from RNAcentral. Lineage: Eukaryota; Metazoa; Chordata; Actinopteri; Blenniiformes; Gobiesocidae.